Molecule: ribosomal RNA, 394 nt
Filed under: uncultured bacterium
Lineage: Bacteria
Description: bacterial SSU rRNA
Rfam family: Bacterial small subunit ribosomal RNA
Source: RNAcentral
GGGAAUAUUGCACAAUGGGCGAAAGCCUGAUGCAGCAACGCCGCGUGAGUGAUGAAGGCCUUCGGGUUGUAAAGCUCUGUCUUCUGGGACGAUAAUGACGGUACCAGAGGAGGAAGCCACGGCUAACUACGUGCCAGCAGCCGCGGUAAUACGUAGGUGGCAAGCGUUGUCCGGAUUUACUGGGCGUAAAGGAUGCGUAGGCGGAUACUUAAGUCAGAUGUGAAAAUCCCGGGCUUAACUUGGGAACUGCAUUUGAAACUGGGGAUCUAGGGUGCGGGAGAGGAAAGUGGAAUUCCUAGUGUAGCGGUGAAAUGCGUAGAGAUUAGGAAGAACACCAGUGGCGAAGGCGACUUUCUGGACCGUAACUGACGCUGAGACAUGAAAGCGUGGGGAG